This 839-nucleotide ribosomal RNA is filed under the name uncultured eukaryote. Its description in RNAcentral is "SSU rRNA". It matches the Rfam family "Eukaryotic small subunit ribosomal RNA", at positions 635 to 1426 of the family's 1831-position model. The record is from RNAcentral.
CGGUGUUCAACUGGCGUGCCCGCGGGACGUCCUGCCGGUGAGCUCAGCCCGCGAGGGCGGCUCAACUUGAAAUCCCAUCGCGGUGCUCUUCAUUGAGUGUCGAGGUGGGCCGGCACGAUUACUUUUGAACAAAUUAGAGUGCUUAAAGCAGGCUAAAAUUUUGCCUGAAUACUGUGUAUAUGGAAUAAUGGAAUAGGACCUCGGUUCUAUUUUGUUGGUUUUCGGAACCCCGAGGUAAUGAUUAAUAGGAACGGAUGGGGGCAUUCGUAUUGCGACGUUAGAGGUGAAAUUCUUGGAUCGUCGCAAGACGGACUAAAGCGAAAGCAUUUGCCAAAAACGCUUUCAUUGAUCAAGAACGAAAGUUAGAGGUUCGAAGGCGAUCAGAUACCGCCCUAGUUCUAACCAUAAACUAUGCCAGCUAGCGAUCCGCCGACGUCCCUCUGAUGACUCGGCGGGCAGCUUCCGGGAAACCAAAGCUUUUGGGUUCCGGGGGAAGUAUGGUUGCAAAGCUGAAACUUAAAGGAAUUGACGGAAGGGCACCACCAGGAGUGGAGCCUGCGGCUUAAUUUGACUCAACACGGGAAACCUCACCAGGCCCAGACACUGGAAGGAUUGACAGAUUGAGAGCUCUUUCUUGAUUCAGUGGGUGGUGGUGCAUGGCCGUUCUUAGUCGGUGAAGCGAUUUGUCAGGUUAAUUCCGAUAACGGACGAGACUCUGACCUGAUAACUAGACGCACUUGCGGCAUCUCAAAGGUCCGCCGGCGGCUGGCUUUGCGCCCGUCGUCGCGCGCGAUUUUUACUGCCGGCGUACAAUAAAUUCUUCUUAGAGGGACAAGUGG